AUGCUGGGAGCACUUGAACCUGCGGCACACAGCUGUACUGAAAUUGAGCUCUGGCUCUCAUUCUGGCUGUCAUGCAGUGUUACCGUCAGCACUACUUUUAAGAUGUCUUCAGCCCACAGACAAACUAAAAAUGUGUGCUGUCAGCAGAGACUACAGGACGAGGGGUAUGAAGGACUGAAUAUGGCCUUGGCUAUGUCCCCAGCGAUGGAACGGAAGAGGAUUGAACAUAGAGCUGACAUUAUGGGGAGAUUCUCACUGAAGACUGCUUUCAGCACUCCAUCACAUUGGAUUGACAAUCAUUUCACACCUACAAACGGGAGGCUAAAUGUUUCAACUUGGGAGAAAAGAGGCAAAUAUAUUUCUAAUCCUCUCUGGUUAUACUGGCACUGGAAAAUAUUCCUAUACGCUCUGUUGCAGGACUCGAAUGUAUUUUUAAAAUAUAACCCAAACUACAGAUCAUUUUUUUGCCUUAAGAAAUAAGAAAUAUCAAGUACUGGAAAAAAGAGUUAAACUCCUGGAAACUGAGCUCUCUCCACUAUAGUUGACAUUAUGAAGUCCUGAUAUCAUAGUCUUGAUAUCUGAUAAAAGCUUUUGUAAUAAAUUUGUGGCUUAUUCUACAAACUUCCACCCAAGAGUUAUUCUGUUUU
Molecule: long non-coding RNA, 647 nt
Filed under: Mustela putorius furo (domestic ferret)
Lineage: Eukaryota; Metazoa; Chordata; Mammalia; Carnivora; Mustelidae
Description: lncRNA (ENSMPUG00000025481.1)
Source: RNAcentral